RNAcentral lists this ribosomal RNA (553 nucleotides) under Sebastes viviparus (Norway redfish). RNAcentral's name for it is "partial 16S ribosomal RNA". It matches the Rfam family "Bacterial large subunit ribosomal RNA", at positions 1845 to 2596 of the family's 2925-position model. The record is from RNAcentral. Lineage: Eukaryota; Metazoa; Chordata; Actinopteri; Perciformes; Sebastidae.
AUAAGAGGUCCCGCCUGCCCUGUGACUAUUAGUUUAACGGCCGCGGUAUUUUGACCGUGCAAAGGUAGCGCAAUCACUUGUCUUUUAAAUGAAGACCUGUAUGAAUGGCACAACGAGGGCUUAACUGUCUCCUCUUUCAAGUCAAUGAAAUUGAUCUCCCCGUGCAGAAGCGGGGAUAUAAACAUAAGACGAGAAGACCCUAUGGAGCUUUAGACACCAAAGAAGAUCCUGUCAAGUAACCCCUUAUAAGGGCCUAAACUAAUGGAAUCCUUCCCUAAUGUCUUUGGUUGGGGCGACCGCGGGGAAACAAAAAACCCCCACGUGGAAAGGGAGCACCCCCUCCUACAACUAAGAGCCGCAGCUCUAAUUAACAGAAUAUCUGACCAAUAAGAUCCGGCAAUGCCGAUCAACGGACCGAGUUACCCUAGGGAUAACAGCGCAAUCCCCUUUUAGAGCCCAUAUCGACAAGGGGGUUUACGACCUCGAUGUUGGAUCAGGACAUCCUAAUGGUGCAGCCGCUAUUAAGGGUCCGUUUGUUCAACGGUUAAAGUCC